UAAAUCAGAUUCGUCAUCUUAACAUUUAGACAACGAUGAUAACUGAUUAUCGUUGUUAUAUAUUAAAAACUCAUUGUGUGCUAGAUCAUUGAUACGUAAAAAAUUCGACGGUCGAUUGACAGUAAAGUGAAAAGUCGAAAUAUGGAAAAAUUUCAGAUAAAUGAUCCAUACCGCGGAUCAGAUAGAAGUUUUUAAUAGAAGCUUCUUUUGAAAUAAGACUCUCCUUCAUUAGCUAGCGGUUAAAUUAAGCGCGUCAUUCAAUAAAAUAAUACUAUCGUUUCCCGAUUGCUAUUUGCUAAGCCAUUCUGGCGAUCGUGUUGGAGCAGGUAAUUCAUUCAACUACUACGCAUAACAGCAAACGAACAGGAAAAUAUUACGUUACGUAUCGAUCAAGCACGGAAUUCCAUUUUCCAACUGGUGUUCGCGCGAAAAUUCAUUCGAAGCGCAAAUACACGUUUAACAGGAAAAUCCACCGAGUCAGCGAAAGCGUAAUAACUUCGACGAGGAUAUCUGCAUUUAAAAUCCUCGCGUUCGAUUCACAGAAAGACGCAUUUCAUUUUUAUUUCAUAUUCGAAUUAACUCUGGAACACGUUUCUACUUCGAAACGAAUAUUAAUUAACUUCGGUACGUUGGAACUGAUACCCUUAAAUAGAAACGCGUAGAUACUGCUAGUAGUGAUUUCGUUAUGUAAUUUUAGCGUCUGUAGAGCCGAAGAUUCAUAUACACCGAAUUUAUCUCAGGAACAAGCGUCAACAUGGAUAAUAUACCUUACGCGCGGGACGUGCAUGUGACGAACGUUAUCGGUGCUAAUAAGAAGCGUACCUAACGUAAUACGUAGAUCGUAAUUAUUUCAUCGAUGCGCAACGUUUAUUCAAAAUUUAUCGAUUCCUCCAACGAACUCGCUGUAUUUUUAAUAAAAACAGAGACAGAUGAUAGCUACGAGUCGAUUAAUCAUUUCUAACCUGUUUCCUGUUUCGAUGGUGUACAUAUUUUCGUCAUUUUUAUCAACCUUUAUUUUUCCAGACUGCCUUCGAUGGAUAAAAAUGAUUUAUUAUUAACGGAUUUGAUAAAAUAUUGGUCUCGUGCAAUUUUUAUCGAUCGAGGAACAUUCAUCCUUGAUUUUUAAUUUUAAUCGAUCCAUGCUUCCAAAUCAUGUUUGACCUUUCCACUGAUCCUUAGAUAAACAUGUUAUCAAACAUUUCGUUGUCUUUACAAAGUACGUAACGUGACUAACCAAGGAAGUAAUCCAGCGGAAAUUCCGUAGCAGCAUCGAUCUCGCGAUACUCACUUGUAACAGGAAAAUCUUUGUAUUUUGUCGAUUCCUCAAUUCCUCUGAUACACGUGCUUUUUCCUUUUCGCUCGAUAAGCGUAUUGUAGCAGAAAUAGUUCGUUAUGUUCCAUUGUUAGCUCCAACAAUGUUCCUUAAUUAAUCGCAGUUUAUUCGAAUGAACCAAAUUCUUUAGGGCAAGCGACUUUUAAACUCGAGUCAGGGUUCGUUGGCCCGAACCCAGGGACCCAACAAAAUAUGUAUUCGUGAAGUGAUAUUCAAGAAGAUUCAGAAUCGACGCGGGAAACGAAGUCGAGGAAGUGGCGUAGAUACAGCGCGUGCGCGAGAAAAAUUUCAACCGAUUCGAGUUUAUACCACUCUCUUCACUUAUCAAGCGAACAACAAAACAUUCGUUGAUUACUGCGCAGCAGUUCAAUAUCAAAGGUUCUAAAAGAACAAAAAUAUGGAAUCGUUGUUAAGACCAGAAUCUUGAAACACAUUAACGAUGUGAAUUUUUUCAAAUUUGACAUGUAUUUGAUAAAAUAUAACAAGAAGUAGAAUAGGAACUUUAUAUACGUGACGAUUCCUACAUCGUAUAGAAUCUUUUUUAAUCCCAGAAAAGUACAGAAAAUAUCGUUGUUAUUUUCUUAAAUAUACAAAUAGAUUGAUAAAAAUGAACACCUUGUAUAUGAUUGAAGGUUCUGUUUAUACAUGAAGCAUGAUGGCGAGGCUUGCACGUGAGAGAGUCAAAUCGAGGACGAAGACGAUUGAAAUGAGGAAAAGUAACGGGGCGAAUAACGGGUUGAAUUUAACGCAUCUUGCCGUUACGAGCACAUUUGUAAACCUAGUUGUUAGGUUACAGUGGAUCGUGUAACUUCACAAUCGAAUGCAUAUUAAUAAUAUACACUUGUCUCAGUGUUCACGUCUAUUACCGGUUUGCAGACGGACAGACGAUUUACAUGAGAUUGUAAACAAGAUAAAUAUCGAUUUGUUCCACAAUAUUUUCAUUUUAGGUUGGUGAAUUUUUAGUGGCCUUGCUUUCGAUAAACAAGCUUGACGCUAUCUUUUCUUGGUAUCGUUAGCGAUGACGGUGUACGUCUUCUCUAGAAUCUUAAAUAUGUCUAUGCCAGAGAAAAUGAAGUAGUCAUUGAGUUUCCAAGAACACUGUUACUUUAUUCUAAGAAAUUUGUGACACUACAAUCUGUAUGAACGAGUUGAUGUAAUAGGAUUUCCGGAAUCCCGUUAACCAUCACGUUUAAGAUAAGAUACAUUUUUAUUAUGACCUUUGAUUAUUUUCUUAAAAGAAGAAAAAAAACUGACCUCGGAACUUAAUUUACAACAUUGUUUCUAAAUUUAAUCUGAAGGAGUGAAAACAAUAUUAAUAAACGGCAACAUUAGCAAAAGUUGAAAUAUUCACGUUUGUUACAAAUAUCUUCUUGCAACAUUAUACCUUUUGUUGUUUUACUAAAAUAUAAAAAUAGAUAAAAUUUUCGUUCUCUCUUUUUGAUGUAUAUCAAUUACAUACCAAUGUUAAUAAGUGCUUAUGCUUUAAUGUUUUCUCUGUUUAUGAUAAUGUGGCGAUUAAAACUUUUAAAUAAAAUUAUAAACUAUUACAAUUUCAAUAUUAAAAGAUUUACACAUAUAACUAGAAGUCAUAUUGAUCAAUUACAUAAAUUAGAAAAUAAAACAAAAUUAUGUUACAAA
Long non-coding RNA from Bombus pascuorum, 2971 nucleotides. RefSeq lists it as uncharacterized. Lineage: Eukaryota; Metazoa; Arthropoda; Insecta; Hymenoptera; Apidae. The record is from RefSeq and is a predicted model, not a curated record. The transcript is spliced from 2 exons.